GAGUUUACCGAAGCAUUCCGAUCUUUCUUAUCAUUACACAAGACGCCAUUAAUUUACAAGAACAAUCUUGUCUCUUGGCUCCAUAAACGAAACAAAGAAAUAACAAGAUACUAAAAUACAACCAUCAUCACAAUGGCCGGUAGAGACGAUCCAGGUAAAUUUUUUGUUGGAAACCUCAGUUGGAACACAGACAAUGAUGUGUUGUGGAGGUACUUCAGUAGAUAUGGAGAACUGAGUGAUGCAGUUGUCAUCAUGGACAGACAGACAGGAAGAUCAAGGGGGUUUGGUUUUGUCACUUUCCGUGAUCCACAAUGUGUAGAUGAAGUACUCCAUGAAGGACAGCAUACAAUUGAUGGCAGACAGGUGCUUCCCUAAAGAAAAAUAUGCCUGUCGGAGACGAAGGAGAAAGAACAAGGCAAUAUCAAGCUACGUGUUUUAGCUUAACAGCAACGAAGGGUGAAUGCCAGACCCUGUAACAACAACAACAGAUAGGCAGGAUUUGAAGAGGAACAGUCAAAUGUUAAUACUAGCUGUUAACUAACAGAAAACAUUAUAUCAUAACUUAUUAUAUGUUGAAAAAUCAUGUUUCUAUUCAUGUUUUAAUUUGUGUGCCACCUAUAUUUUUAUCAUAAUUUAUAAAUUUUAGACUGAAAAUUUUAUUAUCUUUAUGCUCUUUUAUACAGUAUACUGUAGUUAUUUUUUUUAUGUACAAGUGUCUGUAUGAGAUCCAAUUUCAUGAAUUCAGGUACCUUAUUAACAACAUUUGUUACAAUAAAUCAGAAAAACUAGAUCAUUCUCAAAUUUGUUUAUUAUUGUACCGUUCAAAGCUUUUUCCCCUGAGUUAUUUUGUUUAACAUUUUCAAUCCUUAGAUUUGGAUCUAUCACAUGACUCAGUGAGUGAGUUACACUAGAAAUUGACACUUGAAAAAUCUCAACUUAUAUCAUUGAAUUCAGAUUUUUUUUACAAUUUGCAACGAAAUUUGGGAAUUUGCGAAGUGACUUAAAAAGUGUUAAAUUUUGGAAAGUAGUAUACAUUGUACUUACAAAUCAAUUAGUUAUGUAGUUUGAAAACAAUCAAAUGUUUUUUUAUUUUCUUAUGAGAAAGUCUUCUGUAUUAUUGAAUUGAUACCCAAAUGAACUUUGAAGAUUCAAGUCAUCUUUAUAUACUUUCAUCUCGGGUACUGAAUGAAAGCUCACUCACUCAUUUAGAUUUUUUUUUAAGAAAGCAUUUAUAUAUAUACAUUAUCUUUGUGCAUCAUUGUCUUAAAAAAGUAAAGUUUUAAAUCUUAUAA
This is an RNA transcript of Mytilus trossulus (common blue mussel), 1292 nucleotides long. It is a transcript of the gene named heterogeneous nuclear ribonucleoprotein 27C-like, with no coding region annotated. The transcript is spliced from 5 exons. Lineage: Eukaryota; Metazoa; Mollusca; Bivalvia; Mytilida; Mytilidae. The record is from RefSeq and is a predicted model, not a curated record.